AUUGAACGCUGGCGGCAGGCCUAACACAUGCAAGUCGAACGGUAACAGGAAACAGCUUGCUGUUUCGCUGACGAGUGGCGGACGGGUGAGUAAUGUCUGGGAAACUGCCUGAUGGAGGGGGAUAACUACUGGAAACGGUAGCUAAUACCGCAUAACGUCGCAAGACCAAAGAGGGGGACCUUCGGGCCUCUUGCCAUCAGAUGUGCCCAGAUGGGAUUAGCUAGUAGGUGGGGUAACGGCUCACCUAGGCGACGAUCCCUAGCUGGUCUGAGAGGAUGACCAGCCACACUGGAACUGAGACACGGUCCAGACUCCUACGGGAGGCAGCAGUGGGGAAUAUUGCACAAAGGGCGCAAGCCUGAUGCAGCCAUGCCGCGUGUAUGAAGAAGGCCUUCGGGUUGUAAAGUACUUUCAGCGGGGAGGAAGGGAGUAAAGUUAAUACCUUUGCUCAUUGACGUUACCCGCAGAAGAAGCACCGGCUAACUCCGUG
Molecule: ribosomal RNA, 490 nt
Filed under: uncultured bacterium
Lineage: Bacteria
Description: partial 16S ribosomal RNA
Rfam family: Bacterial small subunit ribosomal RNA
Source: RNAcentral